Molecule: long non-coding RNA, 2010 nt
Organism: Columba livia (rock pigeon)
Lineage: Eukaryota; Metazoa; Chordata; Aves; Columbiformes; Columbidae
Exons: 2
Source: RefSeq, a predicted model, not a curated record
UGGGAGCGCAUCAGGCUGCUGUAGUCGCGCCUCUUUCAGUCUCCUGGAUGCAAAAGCAAAUGGUUUUAAAUACAGCAAUUCUUUCUUUAGAGCUCCAUGAAUUGUGGACACAGAGCAUGCUCUACAGGUAUUAGUUACAGGAUUCAGGACUAAAAAAUAACUGGGUGAGCAGUUCUUGCACGAGUGUCCUGCAGUUCAACUGUUUCCAAGUGUCUGUAAACCAAAAAUCAGAGAGGAUGUCUCAGAAGGUGUUGGGAUCUCAGGAAAGUGCACACAACCUCCUGACUUCCUCUGUAAUUUGCACUAGAUGCUACCGGAGCCUGCAAUCUCAAAUGGUCCUCACUUGGAAAGUACACACACAAAGAGUAAAGAAGAUAGAGUAGAACCUUUGAAACUUUAUUUGAAAACAAUCAAACAAGUAAACAGGGUUCUGCAAUUCCUUUUUUGUCUCUUUUAACAUUUUUUUCUCCCAGACUUUAGUUCUCUAGAUAUUCAUCUCCUUCUUCAGCCUCUGCUUCUACUGCAUCUACACCAACUUCUUCAUAAUCUUUCUCAAGGGCAGCCAGAUCUUCGCGGGCUUCGGAAAACUCCCCUUCCUCCAUUCCUUCCCCAACGUACCAGUGCACAAAGGCACGCUUGGCGUACAUGAGAUCGAACUUGUGGUCCAGGCGAGCCCACGCCUCAGCGAUGGCAGUGGUGUUGCUCAACAUGCAGACGGCCCGCUGCACCUUGGCGAGGUCACCACCCGGCACCACGGUGGGAGGCUGGUAGUUAAUGCCCACCUGCGAGAGAACAAAUGAAAACCUGCUUCAGGAGCGCUAAGGCUGAGACAUUUCUGUUAACAAUUAAAAAGCUACGGUUAUGAACAAGUAGAAUAGCUUAGUUAUUUUGCACUUUAUCCAAAUAUUUAACAGGGACAUUACAACAUUGUACGCUGACUGUUGGCUCCGAAUACCACACCAUUUCUAGUAACUCAAAUAUCGAGCACUUAAGCUAUGCAAGUACCUUGAAUCCAGUUGGACACCAAUCCACAAACUGAAUGGUGCGUUUAGUCUUGAUGGUAGCAAUAGCUGCAUUGACGUCUUUAGGAACCACGUCGCCGCGGUACAACAUGCAGCAGGCCAUGUAUUUGCCGUGGCGAGGGUCGCAUUUCACCAUCUGGUUGGCUGGUUCAAAACACGCGUUGGUGAUUUCAGCCACGGAUAACUGCUCGUGAUAGGCCUUCUCAGCUGAGAUCACAGGGGCGUAUGUUACCAGAGGGAAAUGGAUUCGUGGGUAUGGGACAAGGUUGGUUUGAAAUUCUGUCAGAUCUACGUUGAGGGCUCCAUCAAAGCGCAGUGAAGCUGUGAUGGAUGAAACAAUUUGCCCAAUUAAUCGGUUUAAGUUGGUGUAAGUAGGACGUUCAAUGUCAAGGUUACGACGACAUAUAUCAUAAAUGGCUUCAUUAUCUACCAUGAACGCACAGUCGGAGUGCUCUAGUGUUGUGUGGGUAGUUAGGAUUGUGUUGUAAGGCUCCACUACAGCCGUGGAAACUUGUGGUGCUGGAUAAAUCGCAAACUCUAGUUUAGAUUUUUUGCCGUAGUCAACUGACAGCCUUUCCAUGAGCAGAGAUGCAAACCCUGAACCGGUGCCUCCUCCAAAACUGUGGAAGAUAAGGAAACCUUGCAGCCCUGUGCACAGAUCGGCCUGUAAUGGGGUGGGAAAAGAGUGGGAGAAGAAGCUAUUAAUGACUUCAGAGAAAGCAAUAUUAAAAGAAUCAUUCAAAACUAUUUCUUAAGUUUUUUAGUUUUACAUUGUUAUAAUAUAAAACUAGCAUUCUUGAAAGCAUUCUAGCAUUCUUUUUUCUUGCAUGUUUUCUACUCAAGAGUACCAGUUCCUAUACAUAACUUUUUUUCUGAAGUAUUUUAAUAUUUAAAAAUCGCGUUGUUUCUGAUGCCAUGUUAAUACUGCUGUAAGCACAACUGUGCACCGCUGUGACAACUUAUUAAAAGCUACAGCAGAGUUCCAGCU